RNAcentral lists this long non-coding RNA (321 nucleotides) under Apteryx owenii (little spotted kiwi). RNAcentral describes it as "lncRNA (ENSAOWG00000002870.1)". Lineage: Eukaryota; Metazoa; Chordata; Aves; Apterygiformes; Apterygidae. The record is from RNAcentral.
AAACACAAAAAAAGGCUUUAUUGCUAGACACGGGAUCUUCAUACUACUGAUAUUUAACAGGUGAUGUAGCUAGAUUGAAGCUCUUCAGAGAAACACUCCAUUCUGCGGUCUGGCUGGAGGCUUUUCACAGACUAGUCUUUGCUGCUUUGUCUUUCACAGAGGAACAUCCGUUGAUAAUUUCAGCUCUCCAGUUUCUCAAUAAUUACAGCUUUUGGAAGAAGUUUGAAGGUAAUAGGGGAAAGGGAAAAAAACCCAAACCCCAAACCCAGAGCACUUCAUCUAUUUGUCUUCCCAAAGAGACUGGGAAAUAGUGUAACUUCC